Anthonomus grandis grandis is the source of this 1277-nucleotide long non-coding RNA. RefSeq lists it as uncharacterized. The record is from RefSeq and is a predicted model, not a curated record. The transcript is spliced from 4 exons. NCBI's taxonomy places the organism in Eukaryota, Metazoa, Arthropoda, Insecta, Coleoptera, Curculionidae.
UAGUAGUUAAUACCAUAAAAUAUUGAGCCAUUAUUCAGCAACAAUCGAAUAAAUUAUCGAUAGUUUCUUGACAGUGACAGAUUUUAAAAUUUCCAGACUUUUUUUAUUAUAUAUGUCAUAGUCGAAAUAUAAAACCCGUUGUUUUAUAAAACGCCUAGUCGUUUUAUAAACAGCAGCCAGAUUGUCAAAUAUUAAUUGUCAACUCAUUAUUUUGCUAUCUGGCUAGCGUAGUUUUAUAAAACACCUAGUCGUUUUAUAAAAGUACGGUGACUGCUUGGCCAGAUUAUUAAACGCUAAAAAGACAUUUAAUCGUUUGAUAUUAUGACAUUUUGACGAGUGAUGCAUUUUGAUGCAAAUUUGAUCCAUAAUUUCAAUUUUGCUUAGUUCGUUUAGUUACAACUCUUCUUGGUUUGUUUAGUACUCUAAAAAUAUGGAUCCUGUUAAAGUAGCAGCGGCGGGAGUAGAUAAAAACUUCUAACGUAGUUUUUAUAAGGAUGCUCUUGAAAGUGAAAGAAAAUUAUUUUCUGAAUGACAAUUUUACUAUGUAACUUAAUAUGUAUUAACUUAAAUUUUCACUUUUUAAAAUAAAAAUUUUAAUAUGGAUGGAAAAGGAUAAGAAGUAUAAGACAAAUGGCUGUCCUACUUCGAGAGCUACUACAUAAAAUUUUCAUGUUAUAGAAACAAAGUAGUAGAAACUACUCUUUACUCAGAAGCAUAUAGGAAGAUAAUUUUUUGCAUAAAUAAACUAACAUAAAGCGGCCAAUGUCAACGAUGGAACCAAUAUUAGCUACCUGGAAUCGGAACAUCAUCGGAAGGAUUAACCCUAUAAAAAGUAUUAAAAAAUCAUCUGUAAGCCUGACUUGUCGUUAUCACAUACACAGUAUUACUUUAGUCUGCAGCAAUCAACUUGGUUUUGUCACUAUUCUGAUGGCAGUCAGAUUUCAAGGUUCUAGGAACAUCAAAUGGAUCAGACUUAUGACUUAUUCCAAGAUCUGCACUUGUUAAAAUAUCACUUGUAAAUGAAAGCAGGAACGUAUUCAACUAUUUAGCAACAAAUCUAAUUCUAUUAUAAAUAGAACGAAUAAAAUUAAACUCGUUAAGGACCUUUCGACAUCUAUAUUAAAAUUUGCAUUUUACUUUUAUUGUGAUAUUUGUCUGUUAAUUUAAGAAUAUGUAAGAUAUUUGAAUUGUUUUAUUUAAUUUUUGUGGUAUUAUAUUUAAUAAUUUCUGUUCACCUAAAUACCAAUCUUGCUUUGUAAAGCAAACAUUUUUAAAAU